GACGAACGCUGGCGGCGUGCUUAACACAUGCAAGUCGAACGGAAAGGCCCUGCUUUUGUGGGGUGCUCGAGUGGCGAACGGGUGAGUAACACGUGAGUAACCUGCCCUUGACUUUGGGAUAACUUCAGGAAACUGGGGCUAAUACCGGAUAGGAGCUCCUGCUGCAUGGUGGGGGUUGGAAAGUUUCGGCGGUUGGGGAUGGACUCGCGGCUUAUCAGCUUGUUGGUGGGGUAGUGGCUUACCAAGGCUUUGACGGGUAGCCGGCCUGAGAGGGUGACCGGCCACAUUGGGACUGAGAUACGGCCCAGACUCUUACGGGAGGCAGCAGUGGGGAAUAUUGCACAAUGGGCGGAAGCCUGAUGUAGCAACGCCGCGUGCGGGAUGACGGCCUUCGGGUUGUAAACCGCUUUCGCCUGUGACGAAGCGUGAGUGACGGUAAUGGGUAAAGAAGCACCGGCUAACUACGUG
Molecule: ribosomal RNA, 468 nt
Filed under: uncultured bacterium
Lineage: Bacteria
Description: partial 16S ribosomal RNA
Rfam family: Bacterial small subunit ribosomal RNA
Source: RNAcentral